UAAAGGAAUUGGCGGGGGAGCACCACAAGGGGUGAAGCCUGCGGUUUAAUUAGACUCAACGCUCGGAAACUUACCAGGGGCGACAGCUCAAUGACGGUCAGACUGACGAUCAUACCUGAGUAGCUGAGAGGAGGUGCAUGGCCGUCGCCAGUUCGUGCCGUGAGGUGUCCAGUUAAGUCUGGCAACGAACGAGACCCGUGCCCUUAGUUGCCAGCAAGAGGUUACGACCUCGUUGGGAACACUAAGGGGUCUGCCGCUGAUAAAGCGGAUGAAGGAGCGGGCCACGGCAGGUCAGUAUGCCCCGAAUCCCCCGGGCCACACGCGGGCUGCAAUGGCCGGGACAAUGGGUACCGACCCCGAAAGGGGUAGGUAAUCCCCUAAACCUGGCCUUACCUGGGAUCGAGGGCUGCAACUCGCCCUCGUGAACCUGGAAUCCGUAGUAAUCGCGCCUCAAAAUGGCGCGGUGAAUACGUCCCUGCUCCUUGCACACACCGCCA
RNAcentral lists this ribosomal RNA (497 nucleotides) under uncultured archaeon. RNAcentral's name for it is "bacterial SSU rRNA". It matches the Rfam family "Archaeal small subunit ribosomal RNA", at positions 857 to 1351 of the family's 1478-position model. The record is from RNAcentral.